This 515-nucleotide ribosomal RNA is filed under the name uncultured bacterium. RNAcentral's name for it is "bacterial SSU rRNA". It matches the Rfam family "Bacterial small subunit ribosomal RNA", at positions 29 to 514 of the family's 1533-position model. The record is from RNAcentral.
AACGAACGCUGGCGGCGUGGAUAAGACAUGCAAGUCGAACGAUCACUAUUGGGUAGCAAUAUUUGGUAGUGGGAGUGGCGCAAGGGCGCGUAACACGUGGGUAAUUUGCCGUAAAGUCUGGGAUAACUUGCUGAAAGGCGAGCUAAUACCGGAUGUGAUUGCUGGGGGGCAUCCUCUGGCACUUAAAGUCGGGGACCGUAAGGCCUGACACUUUUUCGAUAAGCCCGCGGCCUAUCAGCUAGUUGGUGAAGUAACGGCUCACCAAGGCUAAGACGGGUAGCUGGUCUGAGAGGACGACCAGCCACACUGGAACUGAGACACGGUCCAGACACCUACGGGUGGCAGCAGUCGAGAAUUUUUCUCAAUGGGGGGAAACCCUGAAGGAGCGACGCCGCGUGGGGGGAUGAAUGGCUUCGGCCCGUAAACCCCUGUCAUUUGCGAUCAAACCUUGCGAUCUAACAAUCGUAAGCUGAUAGUAGCGAAAGAGGAAGGGACGGCUAACUCUGUGCCAGCAG